RNAcentral lists this ribosomal RNA (252 nucleotides) under uncultured bacterium. RNAcentral describes it as "partial 16S ribosomal RNA". It matches the Rfam family "Bacterial small subunit ribosomal RNA", at positions 524 to 776 of the family's 1533-position model. The record is from RNAcentral.
UACGGAGGAUGCGAGCGUUAUCCGGAUUUAUUGGGUUUAAGGGGUGCGUAGGCGGGUUAUCAAGUCAGCGGUAAAAUCGUGGAGCUCAACUCCAUCCAGCCGUUGAAACUGAUGAUCUUGAGUGGGCGAGAAGUAUGCGGAAUGCGUGGUGUAGCGGUGAAAUGCAUAGAUAUCACGCAGAACUCCGAUUGCGAAGGCAGCAUACCGGCGCCCGACUGACGCUGAAGCACGAAAGCGUGGGUAUCGAACAGG